RNAcentral lists this ribosomal RNA (407 nucleotides) under uncultured bacterium. Its description in RNAcentral is "partial 16S ribosomal RNA". It matches the Rfam family "Bacterial small subunit ribosomal RNA", at positions 30 to 526 of the family's 1533-position model. The record is from RNAcentral.
AUUGAACGCUGGCGGCAGGCCUAACACAUGCAAGUCGAGCGGAGCGGCGGACGGGUGAGUAAUGCAUAGGAAUGUGCCUGGUAGUGGGGGAUAACGUCCGGCAACGGGCGCUAAUACAGCAUACUAGCAGAUGAGCAUAGGUCGGAGUAGAUAGUUGGUGGGGUAAGGGCCUACAAAGGGGACGAUCCGUAACUGGUCGGAGAGGAUGACCAGUCACACUGGAACUGAGACACGGUCCAGACUCCUACGGGAGUCAGCAUUGGUGAAUAUUGGACAAUGGGCGAAAGCCUGAUCCAGCCAUGCCGCGUGUGUGAAGAAGGUCUUCGGAUUGUAAAGCACUUUAAGUUGGUAGGCUUUACCAACAGAAUAAGCACCGGCUAACUUCGUGCCAGCAGCCGCGGUAAUAC